Molecule: non-coding RNA, 1542 nt
Organism: Manis javanica (Malayan pangolin)
Lineage: Eukaryota; Metazoa; Chordata; Mammalia; Pholidota; Manidae
Source: RefSeq, a predicted model, not a curated record
CUCCGCCCCUCAGCCGGCUCCCUGGGUUUACAGCGCUGCCCCAGAAGCCCUCCUCACCAACGCCAGUGUGUCACACCCAGGCGUGCGUGCCAGUCACACCAUUAGUGCCCGAGCAGAUAUCAGUGGUCACUUUCCUGCACCCGCAGUCACUGGGCGGCAGGAGUGGAAUGAACCCAGCCUCCUGGGCACAGCCUCAGCUGCCUCCCACUCACCACCGGCUACUGAGGGCACAUUGAUGACUUGCUCCAGGGCCCUUCACCCCGCAGAGGAAGAAUCUCUGUGUCCAACAUUUUAUCAUCGGGAAAAGAGUGACCUCCCAUAGGAAGAGCCGACAAGGUCCCUUCAGCCGAUCAUCGACGUCAGUGUCAUAGGGAUGCCCUGCUGAUGGCGUGAACUUUUCAUGUACUGCAGUGCCAAAGGGCUCUUUCUUCCCCAAACCCACAACCCCAUUUAUCAGGAGAGGAACGGCAGUCAAAUCCAAAUUAGGGGCGUGUUACAAAACACCAGACUGGUACUCCUCAAAACCGUGGUGAAGAAAGGAGGGUCGGAGGGACUGUCACCACCCAGAGGAGCCAAAGGAGACAUGAUGGCUAAGAUAAGGUGGUGUCCUGUCCGAGAUCCUGGAAAAGAAAAGGCCACUAGGUAAAAACAAAGCACACCAGAACACAGCAUGCUUCCCGCAAGCUUGAGAAGGCGUCUGUCACUCAGCGCACAGUGCCGGGGUUGUCGGGUGCUCAGGGGUGACCUACGGUGUAAAAUGCACCCCCUUACCUGCACACACGCGCCCUUACCUGAGUGCAAACGAGAUGCUCUGCUCACGUUCUACAACUUCGGCUCAGUGGUCAUUCCUUCAAAUGCUGGACAUGUUAAAGAAGUCUAUAAAGUCUAGGGCGCUUGGCAACAGCAGCCAGAGAAAAACAAGACCUUUGGCCUGGAAGAGGAAGGGAGUCCAAUACCCAGCGGCACCACCCUCCGCCCAUGCACAUCCUCAGAGGCACCGCCCACCCCGCGCUGGCAGGGCCUGGGCACUAGUGCCACCUGGCGGCUGAAGACCGACCUGCCGCUAGUGAUUCCUGAAAAGAGGCCUUCCAACAUCAGGCAUGUAAGGAGCACCUACUAUGUGCAGCACAACGGGAGCAAAGACAGGGACCAAGUCACUGUCUGAGAGGAGCCCACAGUCCAGCGGGAGGCAGAAGCAGAAAUCAUUUCAGUGCCGUUUGUAAGUGCCCCGGUACAGAGGCUCUUAAGCAGCAUCUUCUUUCAUCAGGGAGACAAGAGCAGCACCUGUGGAAACUGAAAUGAAGCAGGAAGGCUUCCUGGGGGAGGUGAGUUUUGGCUGGUCCAAGAGGAACUUCAGUUGCUGAAAACAUUUGUAGAAGUGCUAAGCAGUAAAACCAGGAAAUUCUGAAAAAUGUCAUAGACAACAAUAGUGGUACCCAUGCCAAUUCCUACUGAGUCAGCUGAGAAGAGAGAUGAUUUUAUACUCUGUUACCAACAGACUAAAGGCUUAGACACAAUAACAAAAUUAAAAUAUUUUUAAAA